This 1118-nucleotide long non-coding RNA is filed under the name Phoenix dactylifera (date palm). RNAcentral describes it as "long non-coding RNA (PDAC_LNC015851)". Lineage: Eukaryota; Viridiplantae; Streptophyta; Magnoliopsida; Arecales; Arecaceae. The record is from RNAcentral.
GCUUUGAACUAGCUAUUUUCAUGACUCAACGCGAGUCUUCUUGGUAUUUCUUUUGUUUUAUUUGCUCUGAUUUUGUAGAUUGCAUUAGUUUUAUUGAUUAAAUACGGUCGUAGAUUAUUGGAUUACCAUGAAAAUUUCUGUUUGGUUAAAUUAGAUCUGGUCAUAAGGUUUAGUUGAUUUACAGCAUUGCGCUCUAUAUAGUCCUCUAAAACAGUGCAAUCUCUUCAUCGACUGCGUGAAGGAUGGGGAUUCCAUGGGGUGAGUUUUGUAUUUGUUUUAGCUUCAACGAGGACAUUGUUAAGAAUCAAAGAUUGUUACAGAGACAUCAGUAUAUGUAACUGCAAUCUUUCUAACUCUGCCUUAUCCAUAUAAGAAAAAGAGCGUAGUACAAAUAUUAAAGGAUAUGGGAAGUGAACAAAUAUGGAAAAAAAGGGACCGGAGGGUGGGGCAGGAGUGAGAGAAAGAUCCGGAGACUGGCAAUUAUAUUGGGUGCUGAACGUGAGGAAAGCUUUAAAGGGAAGAAAACAUUAAUAGGAUUAUAUUAGAAUGAGAUAAAAAAUAGAGAAAAACAGUUUCCUAAAGUGAUAAUUAUAAGGGUUUUUUGUAUGAAUAUUUUUUAAAAAAUUCAAAUUUGAGUGAAUACCUUUUAAAAUUUAUAUUUAUUUCUAUACUCUCAUAAAACACUUUUUUUAGUUUUUCUAACACCAUUAAUAAAAACUAUAUUUAUUUUAAUUAAAAAUAAAAUAAAAAUUUGAAAUUAUUUUUUUUGAUUUCAAUCGCGAUCGUCUGAUAAUUUUUUUUGCACAUCUACAUAUUAAGAAUAUUUAAUCAUUUUAAUUUAAAACCAUUAAUUUUUAUUGGCGUUGGAUGAUGUGGGUAUAUAUGAUAAGGAUAAAAAUUGGAUAGAAUAGUAAAACAAGUAUUUUACGAGGAUAUACAUGCAAAUAUCAAGAGGAUAUUUAUAUAAAAUUUGAUAUUUAUGUAAAAAAAUUUUAAUUAUAAAAUAUGUGAACAGGGGUUUGUGGCUGAUGAAAGCUAUCAAGAUGCAUAGCAUGUGGGAAUCGGUACAAUAUUCGUUAGGUUAAAUAUCUACCAUUGUUUAUCAUUACUGCAGCCUA